Rhipicephalus microplus (southern cattle tick) is the source of this 449-nucleotide long non-coding RNA. NCBI's taxonomy places the organism in Eukaryota, Metazoa, Arthropoda, Arachnida, Ixodida, Ixodidae. The record is from RefSeq and is a predicted model, not a curated record.
UAUUCACAAGCUUUCAGACCGCGAGAAGCUCAUUAUAGACCAGUGCAUCAUGAAAGCAAAUAUGAAGUCUGCGAAAGCAGCACGGUGUCCUCAUGUUUGAUGAGAUGAGCGUGAGAAAGAGCCUUCACGUCAGGGAAUCGGAUAUGGCACUGCUUGGAAAGGUGGACUUAGCAGAGCACACGAAGCCGACUGACCAAGUGAAAGAUGGGGACCACGUGUUGGUGUUCCUUUUCCGACCAUUCCUUGGUGGCUGGUCGCAGACUGUCGGAGCGUUUUGCACGUCCGGGGCUGCACCAGGAUCCACUGUUGCCAAACUGAUCCUGCAGUGCAUUGUACUCCUAUCGAAUGCCGGCGUCAUUGUGGAGGCAGUCACUUGCGAUAACUCAACUUCGAACCGAUCAGCACUGAACUCCUUGGGUGUCAGUGGUGAUGUCACAAGAGUAUCAACA